RNA transcript from Cannabis sativa, 2285 nucleotides. It is a transcript of the gene named branched-chain-amino-acid aminotransferase-like protein 1, with no coding region annotated. The record is from RefSeq and is a predicted model, not a curated record. The transcript is spliced from 20 exons. Lineage: Eukaryota; Viridiplantae; Streptophyta; Magnoliopsida; Rosales; Cannabaceae.
UACACAAAAAGUUCAUAGUAAAUUAUUACAAUAGUUAUUACUUUCUAAAAGGAAUCAUAUCAUUAAAGAGAGAGAGAGAGAACUGGCACUUAGUAAAUGCCAAACUCGGAAGUGAUUCAAGUGAACAGUGUGAAUUGUUGAUUAAGAAUGGCUGAGCAAAGAAAGCAAGAAGAAGAAGUGGAGGAGGUUGAGGUUGAGGUCAUUCAUGCAUGGUCUCCUCCAAGAUCUCUCAGUACCAGCCUUAUGUACUCUUUCAACCAGAGAGAUGAUACAGAAGUGCUUGAUGAACCCCUGUAUGCAAAUUUUAUUCGGGUCACAGGCUAUGAUAGGCCCUACAGAGAGGAACUACUAUCAACAAUGGAAUCUGAUGGAAAUAAAGUUAUAGAUGAUAUCCUUUUUAGUCCUGGAAAAAAGAAGUACAGGUACUGUAAGCAAAUAGCAAAGCAUUUGGUGUCUGGUUUAUCAAGUGAUUUAAUAAAGAAAGGAAAGCACUUCAUACUGAUACGCAAUCCACUUGAUAUUUUGCCAUCCUUUGACAAGGUUGUGCCACCAUCAUUUAACGAGUUAGGUUUUGGAAGCCUGAUCAGUAUAUACGGUGAGCUUUCAGCGUUGGGAAGGCCUCCACCAAUCAUUGAUGCAGCUGAGCUUGAAGCGAAUCCUGAGGUUACAUUACGUGGUCUUUGUGAAGAAUUGGAUAUUCCUUUUCAAGCCUCAAUGCUUAAAUGGGAAGCUGGCCCAAAACCAGUAGAUGGCAUUUGGGCUCCGUGGUGGUACAAAAGUGUACAUAAAUCAACUGGAUUUGAACGAGUUAGGAAGUAUCCUGUGCCUUUUCCCCUGUCUCUGUAUGAUGUAUUGGAGCAAACUCUACCUCUGUACAAUUGGCUUCGGCGUCAUUCGAAGCACACAUCACAUUUGCUAAAGUCCCCCUUGCCUCCUCCUGAUCUUCCUAAUCCUGAAAAUGCAAAGCUAUUUGCAUGGGUUGGUGAUGAGAUUCUACCACGAGAAAGUGCGAAGGUUUCUGUGUUCGACUCUGUUGUCCAAGGAGGUGAUUCAGCUUGGGAGGGACUCCGAGUUUACGAUGGAAAGAUAUUUAAGCUUGAAGAGCAUUUAGAUAGGUUGUUUGACUCGGCAAAGGCUUUAGCUUUCGAGAAUGUGCCUAGUCGUGAAGAGGUCAAAGAAGCCAUCUUCAGAACUCUUAUUCGGAAUGGUAUGUUUGAUAAUACACACAUCAGGCUAAGUCUAACGCGUGGCAAGAAGGUUACUUCUGGCAUGAGUCCAGCAUUCAAUCUCUAUGGUUGCAACCUUAUAGUACUUCCUGAAUGGAAACCCCCUGUCUAUGAUAAUACACAUGGUAUAACUCUGGUCACAGCUUCUACUCGUCGUAAUUCACCAAAUAAUUUGGACUCAAAGAUUCAUCACAACAACCUUCUUAAUAAUAUUCUAGCAAAGAUAGAAGGAAAUAAUGGAAAUGCUGGUGAUGCAAUCAUGCUUGAUUAUGAAGGUUUCGUGUCUGAAACAAAUGCUACAAAUAUUUUUUUAGUGAAGAAAGCCCGUGUUUCGACACCUCAUGCUGAUUACUGUCUUCCUGGCAUUACCCGUGCUACUGUUAUGGACCUUGUAGUGAAGGAAAAGUUUGUGUUAGAGGAGCGCAGAAUCAGUCUUUCAGAGUUCCAUACUGCAGAUGAGGUAUGGACUACAGGGACUAUGGGGGAACUCACACCGGUUGUGAAGAUUGAUGGGCGUGUAAUUGGAGAUGGGAAAGUGGGGCCUGUGACCCAACAUCUGCAAGAAGCUUACAAAAAGCUGACAGAAGAUUCAGGAGUACCCAUCCCAACAUACCAAAAGACUUAAUAGUCACUGCUUCUAAAAGGUGUGAUUUCUACACUGGCGUGAACCAUAUCAGUUCGUCAGUUACUGAGAAAUGUUUCCCUAUUCCAUUAUCUCCUCAGUUGUGAGAUUCAUAACUGCAGGUUUUUCUGCUAUCUUAGGUCUUUUGGGCCAGUGGUGGAGAUGUGAAUCCAAUGAUUCAUAGCCUGGAGUUAGAAUCUACCACUACGGAGAACGCCUACAGAGACCUGCAAGUGUAGUGAUAUUCAUUGCCAUCAUACAUGAAGCUUCAUUGUGUAAUCUUUUAUCAUUUGUGUUUGUUUCAGAUUAUUGUUUUGCACUAAAUAAAGACUGUUCUUUGAGCUUUAAGCCAAUCCAAGCUAAUUGAUCUAUGUCAUUUACACUGUAACGUGUGGGAAAUGCUAGCAAUGAUAAAUAAAUCCUUUUUUUUUUUUUUU